UGCUAGGGUAACCGGGGUGGUUGCUAGGGCGGUUGCUAUGGUAACCUGGGUGGUUGCUAGGCAGUUGCUACGGUACUUGGGGCGGUUGCUAAGGUGUUGCUAGGCGGUUGCUAGGGUGUUUUGGCUGGUUGCUAGGCAGUUGCUAUGGUCUCCUGGGUGGUUGCUAUGAUGUUACUAGGUGGUUGGUAGUUGUCACAGAUGGUCACUAUGUAGUUAUUAUAGAGUUCUUAGCCCAUUUGAGCACUUAGCUAAUCACUAUUAGCAUGUAGCUAAUCACUGCUAGCAUGACUAGCAUGUUGGAAGUCCAGUGUGCUAGCAUGAGUCAAAAAAUCCAACCGCCAUGUCUGUACGAUGUUCUGAUGCAGAGAUAUAGGUCGUGCAAAACGGUUGCUAGGGUACUCCAUUUGGUUGCUAUGGAGUGGCUUUGCAGCUGCCAAUGGUGAUACUCCAAAGGCUGCUCGUCAAUAUAAACCAACCCCCAUGCCUCUACGAUGUUCUGAUGCAGAGAUAUAGAUCUUGCAAAACGGUUGCUAGGGUACUGUGUUUGGUUGCUAGGGAGUGGCCUUGCAGCUGCCAAUGAUGAUACUUCAAAGUCUGCUUGACAAUAUAAACCAACCCCCAUGCUUCUAUGUCUUUCAGAUGUUAAGAUAUCUAUCUUUGGAUUUUGGUUGCUAGGUAGCUCUUAAUGGUUGCUAGGGCGUGGCUAGGUUGUCUUGAAGGAGAUACAUGAUUGGCCGUUUGCUGCCCGAGUCAAACGAGCCCACCCUCAUGUUCCUAUGACACUUCUAUCCAAAGUUAUUCAUUUGAACUUUUUCAAUGGAAGUCUAUGGGGCUUGUUGCUAUGGUGCUCUAUAUGGUUGCUAGGGCGUGGCUUGAUAGAUUCACAGUGAUCCUGAGAGACUGAUUGGUUGCCUGAUUCAAAUGAGCCCGCCCCCUUGUCUCUAUGACUAUGUGAUCCAUAGUUAUGUUCAAUGCAAAAUCCCUAUGUAAUUUCCCACAGUAGGAAAAACACAUUGUUUCAUGGGCGAUCCCUCCCCAUUGACUUAGUAUGGGGCAACUUUGGGGGGCUCUUGCGCCCCAGGGGUCCAACUUAUACCCCAUUGCGGGGUAUGAUCGCGCACAGCCUGAUAGCCUCUCCAAAUGUGUCGAUUCACAUGUUUCUGCGAAAUUCUCUCUCGGAGCUACGAUCCGUCAAAGUUGGCCGUAAUGCAUUGUCUAUGCGAUUUUUCGGCCGUUUUUUCGCCCGGUGUACGAACAUCGUACGCCCGAUCGCUUAUAAAAGUCAUAGCACACCAUUCCCGAUUAGGCCGCACGAUUUGACGCCUGUUUCGUUGGUCUGUGUCAAAAACUGCGGGACAAGUUACGCGCCGAAAUUUUGGCGGAAGAAGAAUAAGAAUAACUAGAAGGUACAUUUCCUGAAGAAAAUGUGAGUGGUGCUUGCAGUGGCAAAACUCUGCGCCCUGUAGCCACCCAUGAUGCCUGUGUGAUGUUUUGAAGCAGAGAUAGAAGGAUUUAUAUUGCUACAUGGUUGCUAGGGUGCUCUAUAUGGUCGCUAUGGUGUGACUAUAUAGUUUAUGGGGUGAUAUUUAAAGAUUAUUUACCAGCCUGAAUGCAAAAAGCCCAAGCCAGUGUUUCUAUAUAGUUAUUUUUGCUGAGAUACAGCUUUUAAAUGUAGUUAAACAGUUGCUAGGGGGCUAAAAUUGGUUGCUAGGGCAUGGAUAUGAAGUUGUUAUGUCACUACUUAUGGACUGCUUGAUAGGCCGAGUCAAAAGAGCCCUCUCCCAAGCCUCUAUGACUUUCUGAUCCAAAGAUAUGAUGUCAGAUAGUUUUUCCAAUGUUAAGUCAAUGGGAUAUUUUCGCACAUUUUCUUCGCCCGCUGUACGAUUAUCGUAAGUCCGAUUGCUUAGAAAAGUCAUAGCACACCUCUCCUCAAUAUCCCGCACGAUUUGACACCUCAUUCAUGGGUCUGUGACAAAAAAUGCGGGAGGAGUAGCGUGCCAAAGUUUUGUCAAGGCGAAUAGUAAUAGUAACACUAGAAGGUACAUUUCCUGAAGAAAAUGUGAGUGGUGCUUGCAGUGGCAAAACUCUGCGCCCUGUAGCCACCCAUGAUGCCUGUGUGAUGUUUUGAAGCAGAGAUAGAAGGAUUUAUAUUGCUACAUGGUUGCUAGGGUGCUCUAUAUGGUUGCUAUGGUGUGACUAUAUAGUUUAUGGGGUGAUAUUUAAAGAUUAUUUACCAGCCUGAAUGCAAAAAGCCCAAGCCAGUGUUUCUAUAUAGUUAUUUUUGCUGAGAUACAGCUUUUAAAUGUGGUUAAACAGUUGCUAGGGGGCUAAAAUUGGUUGCUAGGGCAUGGAUAUGAAGUUGUUAUGUCACUACUUAUGGACUGCUUGAUAGGCCGAGUCAAAAGAGUCCUCUCCCAAGCCUCUAUGACUUUCUGAUCCAAAGAUAUGAUGUCAGAUAGUUUUUCCUAUGUUAAGUCAAUGGGAUAUUUUCACACAUUUUCUUCGCCCGCUGUACGAUUAUCGUAAGUCCGAUUGCUUAGAAAAGUCAUAGCACACCUCUCCUCAAUAUCCCGCACGAUUUGACACCUCAUUCAUGGGUCUGUGACAAAAAAUGCGGGAGGAGUAGCGUGCCAAAGUUUUGUCAAGGCGAAUAGUAAUAGUAACACUAGAAGGUACAUUUCCUGAAGAAAAUGUGAGUGGUGCUUGCAGUGGCAAAACUCUGCGCCCUGUAGCCACCCAUGAUGCCUGUGUGAUGUUUUGAAGCAGAGAUAGAAGGAUUUAUAUUGCUACAUGGUUGCUAGGGUGCUCUAUAUGGUCGCUAUGGUGUGACUAUAUAGUUUAUGGGGUGAUAUUUAAAGAUUAUUUACCAGCCUGAAUGCAAAAAGCCCAAGCCAGUGUUUCUAUAUAGUUAUUUUUGCUGAGAUACAGCUUUUAAAUGUAGUUAAACAGUUGCUAGGGGGCUAAAAUUGGUUGCUAGGGCAUGGAUAUGAAGUUGUUAUGUCACUACUUAUGGACUGCUUGAUAGGCCGAGUCAAAAGAGCCCUCUCCCAAGCCUCUAUGACUUUCUGAUCCAAAGAUAUGAUGUCAGAUAGUUUUUCCAAUGUUAAGUCAAUGGGAUAUUUUCGCACAUUUUCUUCGCCCGCUGUACGAUUAUCGUAAGUCCGAUUGCUUAGAAAAGUCAUAGCACACCUCUCCUCAAUAUCCCGCACGAUUUGACACCUCAUUCAUGGGUCUGUGACAAAAAAUGCGGGAGGAGUAGCGUGCCAAAGUUUUGUCAAGGCGAAUAGUAAUAGUAACACUAGAAGGUACAUUUCCUGAAGAAAAUGUGAGUGGUGCUUGCAGUGGCAAAACUCUGCGCCCUGUAGCCACCCAUGAUGCCUGUGUGAUGUUUUGAAGCAGAGAUAGAAGGAUUUAUAUUGCUACAUGGUUGCUAGGGUGCUCUAUAUGGUUGCUAUGGUGUGACUAUAUAGUUUAUGGGGUGAUAUUUAAAGAUUAUUUACCAGCCUGAAUGCAAAAAGCCCAAGCCAGUGUUUCUAUAUAGUUAUUUUUGCUGAGAUACAGCUUUUAAAUGUGGUUAAACAGUUGCUAGGGGGCUAAAAUUGGUUGCUAGGGCAUGGAUAUGAAGUUGUUAUGUCACUACUUAUGGACUGCUUGAUAGGCCGAGUCAAAAGAGUCCUCUCCCAAGCCUCUAUGACUUUCUGAUCCAAAGAUAUGAUGUCAGAUAGUUUUUCCUAUGUUAAGUCAAUGGGAUAUUUUCACACAUUUUCUUCGCCCGCUGUACGAUUAUCGUAAGUCCGAUUGCUUAGAAAAGUCAUAGCACACCUCUCCUCAAUAUCCCGCACGAUUUGACACCUCAUUCAUGGGUCUGUGACAAAAAAUGCGGGAGGAGUAGCGUGCCAAAGUUUUGUCAAGGCGAAUAGUAAUAGUAACACUAGAAGGUACAUUUCCUGAAGAAAAUGUGAGUGGUGCUUGCAGUGGCAAAACUCUGCGCCCUGUUGCUAGGGUGUUGCAAUGAGGUUGCUAUGGUGGUUACUAGGGUACCCUGGGUGGUUGCUAGGGUCCACAUGAUGGUUGCUAAGGUACUAAGGGUGGUUGCUAGGGUAAUCUGGGUGGUUGCUAGGGUCCCCGUAAUGGUUGCUAGGGCCGUUGCUAAGGUACCCAGGGUGGUUGCUAGGGUAAUCGGGAUGGUUGCUAGGGUGUUGCUAUGUGGUUGCUAGGGUACCCGGGGUGGUUGCUAGGGUGGUUGCUAGGGUCCCCAUGAUGGUUGCUAGGGCCAUUGCUAUGGUACCCAGGGUGGUUGCUAGGGUAAUCAGGGCGGUUGCUAGGGUGUUGCUAUGGGGUUGCUAGGGUACCCGGGGUGGUUGCUAGGGCGGUUGCUAGGGUCCCCAUGAUGGUUGCUAGGGCCGUUGCUAGGGUACCCAGGGUGGUUGCUAGGGUAAUUGGGGCGGUUGCUAGGGUGUUGCUAUGUGGUUGCUAGGGUACCCGGGGUGGUUGCUAGGGCGGUUGCUAGGGUCCCCAUGAUGGUUGCUAGGGCCGUUGCUAGGGUACCCAGGUUGGUUGCUAGGGUAAUCGGGGUGGUUGCUAGGGUGUUGCUAUGUGGUUGCUAGGGUACCCGGGGUGGUUGCUAGGGCGGUUGCUAGGGUCCCCAUGAUGGUUGCUAGGGCCGUUGCUAGGGUACCCAUGUUGGUUGCUAGGGUAAUCGGGGUGGUUGCUAGGGUGUUGCUAUGUGGUUGCUAGGGUACCCGGGGUGGUUGCUAGGGCGGUUGCUAGGGUCCCCAUGAUGGUUGCUAGGGCCGUUGCUAGGGUACCCAGGGUGGUUGCUAGGGUAAUCGGGGUGGUUGCUAAGGUGUUGCUAGGCGGUUGCUAGGGUACCCGGGGUGGUUGCUAGGCAGUUGCUAUGGUCUCCUGGGUGGUUGCUAUGAUGUUACUAGGUGGUUGGUAGUUGUCACAGAUGGUCACUAUGUAGUUAUUAUAGAGUUCUUAGCCCAUUUGAGCACUUAGCUAAUCACUAUUAGCAUGUAGCUAAUCACUGCUAGCAUGACUAGCAUGUUGGAAGUCCAGUGUGCUAGCAUGAGUCAAAAAAUCCAACCGCCAUGUCUGUACGAUGUUCUGAUGCAGAGAUAUAGGUCGUGCAAAACGGUUGCUAGGGUACUGUGUUUGGUUGCUAUGGAGUGGCUUGGCAGCUGCCAAUGAUGAAACUCCAAAGGCUGUUCGCCAAUAUAAACCAACCCCCAUGUCUCUACGAUGAUCUGAUGCAGAGAUAUAGAUCUUGCAAAACGGUUGCUAGGGUACUGUGUUUUGUUGCUAGGGAGUGGCCUGGCAACUGCCAAUGAUGAUACUCCAAAGUCUGCUUGCUAGUAUGAAUGAUAUAAACCAACCCCCAUGCCUUUAUGAUAUUCAGAUUUGAAGAUAUCUCUCUAUGCUUUUGGUCGCUAGGGAGGUCCAAAUGGUUGCUAGGGCGUGGCUAUGAAGUGUUGAAGGUGAUUCGUGAUUGGCCAUUUGCUACCCCGAGUCAAACGAGCCCACCCUCAUGUUUCUAUGACACUUCUAUCCAAAGUUAUUCAUUUU
Long non-coding RNA from Carassius gibelio (silver crucian carp), 5568 nucleotides. RefSeq lists it as uncharacterized. The record is from RefSeq and is a predicted model, not a curated record. Lineage: Eukaryota; Metazoa; Chordata; Actinopteri; Cypriniformes; Cyprinidae. The transcript is spliced from 9 exons.